Molecule: ribosomal RNA, 241 nt
Filed under: uncultured bacterium
Lineage: Bacteria
Description: partial 16S ribosomal RNA
Rfam family: Bacterial small subunit ribosomal RNA
Source: RNAcentral
UGAGCAAUCUGCCCUUCUCUUCGGAAUAAGCGUUGGAAACGACGUCUAAUGCCGAAUACGACCUCCUUUCGCAUGAUCGGAGGUGGAAAGCUCCGGCGGAGAAGGAUGAGCUCGCGGCCUAUCAGCUAGUUGGUGUGGGUAAUGGCCCACCAAGGCGACGACGGGUAGCCGGCCUGAGGAGGGUGACCCGGCCACACGUGGGACUGAGACACCGGCCCAGACCUCCGUACGGGAGGNAGCG